GUGUAUCGUAAAUAUGAUGGGUGUAACAUAGUAAAUGUUUUGGCUUAGGGUUGUCUUUGAGGUCAUAGAGAGGGACUGAUGAAAGAAGGGGGAAUGUUACUAUAAAAUUGUGGAAACUACUAAGCAAAAACUCUGAUAUUUCCCAAUAGUGAAACAGUAUUUGGCUAUAAUAUUUGCCAAUUUUUAAUAUUAUCUAUAGUAUAAGGAUGUUGGGCUCGGGGGAGGUUUUUUUUUUUUUGCUCGGGGGAGGUUUGUUUUGGUGAAUUUUUUUUGCACGUGUUUGUGUGUUGUUUCUUCAUAUUCUUUCUAUAAAAUUUACGACGAUGUUUGAAAUUUUGUUAAAAUUGCAAAUUAAAUCUUUGAGGAAUAUACUUUAGUAAUAUUUGAAAGAAAGAGAGGAGCUAGUGUUUUAAAGACAAGUACGGAGAGGUGCUAGUGUGGCAAUGGCUAACAUGGCCAUUGAUAAGGAUAAUGUCAAAAUUAUAUAUACUUAUUAGGUUUUUAAGGUCAACGAUGGCGCUUUUAUUCCAUUAUCGAUUGCCACUUCUGAACUUAGGUUGUUUUGUAAAGAGAUACGAAUAGCUUAUAUAUGUGCUAAGCUAAUGUGGUGGUUAGAGUUUUUAUGUUGUGGUCCAAUAAUUGAGUUCUUCCACUGUAGUGUUGGAAGUUGGUGGACUGAGAUUAUAUGAUGGGCUAUUGAUUAAGGAUGUUGUAAUGAAUUUGUUAAUUAUAUGUUUAAUAAGUGUUUCUAGUCAGUUAUGAUUUGAACUUAUUAUAAUAAUAAUGAACUGGGAUGGUAGGAGCUGGUGUUGAAGUUGAAACCCUAAUUUUUUAUUUUUAAAUCGUAGUUGCAGGACAUGAGUUUUUAGAAAUGAACUCUUUAGAUGCUUUCUGAUAAUUGGUUUCCAUGCUUCCCUUUCUACUAGUUGAGGAAUGUUUUAAGUGAGCUUCUUAUGGGAGAUGUGAAUGUUGUUAUGUUAUUGUUUUGGAAUUAUUUAUUCUUUUGAGGAAAAUUUGGUGGGGCAUUCAAGAUUUUUUUUUGUUAUAUGAGGUGAUCUAACCGCAAUGAUGGGUCAAAUUUCAAGUGGAUUUGUGAAUUUGUUGAAGUUUUUGUUGACUUUGUAAUAAUUUA
RNAcentral lists this long non-coding RNA (1132 nucleotides) under Brassica rapa (field mustard). RNAcentral's name for it is "long non-coding RNA (BRAP_LNC007211)". Lineage: Eukaryota; Viridiplantae; Streptophyta; Magnoliopsida; Brassicales; Brassicaceae. The record is from RNAcentral.